AUUGAACGCUGGCGGCAUGCCUUACACAUGCAAGUCGAACGGCAGCACGGGAGCUUGCUCCUGGUGGCGAGUGGCGAACGGGUGAGUAAUACAUCGGAACGUACCCUGAAGUGGGGGAUAACGUAGCGAAAGUUACGCUAAUACCGCAUAUUCUGUGAGCAGGAAAGAGGGGGAUCGCAAGACCUCUUGCUUUAGGAGCGGCCGAUGUCGGAUUAGCUAGUUGGUGAGGUAAAGGCUCACCAAGGCGACGAUCCGUAGCGGGUCUGAGAGGAUGAUCCGCCACACUGGGACUGAGACACGGCCCAGACUCCUACGGGAGGCAGCAGUGGGGAAUUUUGGACAAUGGGCGCAAGCCUGAUCAGCCAUGCCGCGUGAGUGAAGAAGCCUUCGGUGUAAGACUCUUCGUGGGAGAAUA
This 415-nucleotide ribosomal RNA is filed under the name uncultured bacterium. Its description in RNAcentral is "bacterial SSU rRNA". It matches the Rfam family "Bacterial small subunit ribosomal RNA", at positions 30 to 448 of the family's 1533-position model. The record is from RNAcentral.